GCUCCCGAAGCUCAGUUGGCAGAGCUGUGGGUCGGUACCCCACAUCCCGGGUUCAAGUCCCGGCGGUCGCA
Non-coding RNA from Phthorimaea operculella (potato tuberworm), 71 nucleotides. Lineage: Eukaryota; Metazoa; Arthropoda; Insecta; Lepidoptera; Gelechiidae. The record is from the annotation of a GenBank genome assembly.